AUGACAGCGUCCAUGGCGACCUCGCGCUGGCGCACCCCGUCUAGGCCACCAUCAAGGAGGCCAAGUUCUGGGAUAAGAAGAAGAAGUUUGGGACCGAGGCCAUCUACGGAUCGACCUUCAACAUCCGCAGGGAUCUCGACACCCAGAUCCUCUCCAGGUUGGUUCUCUCACUGCCCCCUCCUGGAAAUAGGUUUUGUCUAA
This 201-nucleotide ribosomal RNA is filed under the name Triticum aestivum (bread wheat). RNAcentral describes it as "partial small subunit ribosomal RNA". Lineage: Eukaryota; Viridiplantae; Streptophyta; Magnoliopsida; Poales; Poaceae. The record is from RNAcentral.